AGACGUCUAUGAGGAAAUGACUCUACUUCUCUGUAGUGACCAGCAGGGGGCGACUCCUCUGCUCCCAUAGACGUCUAUGAGGAAAGAGGACGGCGCUGAACGGAUUCCCAUAAUCAGUCUGUUGUCUCAGUGUUGUUAGUUUAGGUUCAGGAGAGGAUGCUGUUCUGGGUGUGAUUACGUUGUUGCUCACCGUGUUUGUUUCAGUGUUGUUACUCGAGCUCAAAGUGAGCGUAUUAUUCUACAUCUAUUCUGCCUCCUGUAUUUAUUUAUUUAUUUUGUGUUAUUCUAUUUUCUGUAUGUAUUCUGUGUCUUAUACAUUGCUGCUGAAUAUUAUAUAAGUCUUUUAUAUCAGGAUAACAAUCAUUGGAUACUAAUCAAAACAUAAAUAACUUCUCUCCUUGUUCCUUUUUUUCUCUCUUUGUCUUUGGGGAACAAACUUGGCAGUAAACCAGAACUCCUCCCCCCUCCUCCCCCCGGCCCCUCCUCCCUCCCCCCCCCUCCCCUCUUUCUCUUUUCUACUGCUCAUUCAGGUCUCAUUAGGUGAUCUUCGUCCCUUCUCGUCCCCACUUCGUCCCCCACGUUCAUUCAUUCAUUCUCUGCUCAUCAUGUCCAGCUGGAGCCUCCUGUGUGUGUGUCUGUGUGCAGCUUCACUCCUGCUGCCUGCUGAACUUAUUAUUUGUUUCACGUCCCAGUGGAGCAGCGUGACCCUGAGACGCCAUCGUGACGUUCAUGACUUGUGUUUUCAGUGGUCCGGGCUCAGUACUACGAGCCCACCGUGCCUCCCGACUACGGCGACUACGGCGACUACAACGUCACCUUCGACUACAGCUUCUACAGUAACGCCAGCAGCGAGGACUUGGAUCAGUUUAGCAAGCCUAUUCAAAGACGAAGAGGAGGACACAGAGGGGCAGGCGAAAGGACCGUGACUGUUACCAUGACAACCACCCAAGAAACCACGGAGCGGGGCGGAGUCAAUGUUCUAAACGCUGCAUCACUUCCGGUUCCUCUGGAAAUCAGGAUGCUUCUCUGGACUCUGGUUACCCUGAUCAGCCUUCAACACACACUAUGAGAAGGACACGCACACAGCUGACGUCUGAUCAGUUCUAACCUGCACAAACCAGAGCGGGUCGCCUGAGGUGGGAGGGGUCUCGGCCUCUGACCUCUGACCUCCGGGGAGAGGAACACCGUGUCCCCCGGCGUGGCUUUACAGGCUCAGCCAAUCACAGAGCAACACUCCAACCACAACAUCACAUGGACUCGUCUGUCUUCAUCUUAUCUUCACAUCUUCAACGUGGGAGAAAGACUUUGCAAUUUGAUAUGUAUGUGUACAAGUACAUGUGUAUAAGUACAUGUGUAUAAGUACAUGUGGAACCUUCUUAAUGACUUAACGAUGGAAAGAGAGCAAACCGAAAUCAGACCAAUGAAUCGUCAUCAUCAAAUACAUUUAGAGCUAAAGCAUAUUUAAGAUACAUUUUAAUUUUCCAGGGUUUGGAAAAAAGUAAAGGAUUGAUGGACUUUGUUCCUUCUGAAGGUCACGUAUGUUUGAAUCUUUCACUGUUAACGUAGUUUGCACUGUUCGCCUCCCUGGACGUGAUCCUUGAAUCAGCUGGAAAAACGUCCCCACAAAGCUGAGAACAGGUUGUAUAGAAACAUGCAAACACAUUUAAUGUUUGUGUGCACAUGCAUGCAUUUGUAUGUGUGUAUAUAUAUUAUAUAUCUAUUAUAUACUUGUUUCAUAGUGAAUAGAUUGUAUCUCUGCUUCUAUGUUGUUGAUUGAUGGACUAUAAAACAAACAAGUCAACAAACACACACAACGGCUUCAUGAGCAGCUCUGAGAAAUGAUUUUACCAAUAAAACAGUUUCAUUUAAGCCGUCUUUGUUUAGACAUUAAGCAUCUUCCAGAAUGUAAAAGGUCAUUUUUGUACAGUUGUUGGUUUUUUGCAAUAAAAUGUCUCGUUACACACAAA
Non-coding RNA from Gasterosteus aculeatus aculeatus (three-spined stickleback), 1967 nucleotides. The record is from RefSeq and is a predicted model, not a curated record. Lineage: Eukaryota; Metazoa; Chordata; Actinopteri; Perciformes; Gasterosteidae.